GGGGUUGUGGUUCAGCGGUAGAGCACUUGCCUAGCACGCAGGAGGCCCUGGGUUCGAUCCUCAGCACCA
Molecule: transfer RNA, 69 nt
Filed under: Ictidomys tridecemlineatus (thirteen-lined ground squirrel)
Lineage: Eukaryota; Metazoa; Chordata; Mammalia; Rodentia; Sciuridae
Description: Spermophilus tridecemlineatus (thirteen-lined ground squirrel) tRNA
Rfam family: tRNA
About the family: Transfer RNA (tRNA) molecules are approximately 80 nucleotides in length.
Source: Rfam by way of RNAcentral